This 253-nucleotide ribosomal RNA is filed under the name uncultured bacterium. RNAcentral describes it as "partial 16S ribosomal RNA". It matches the Rfam family "Bacterial small subunit ribosomal RNA", at positions 524 to 776 of the family's 1533-position model. The record is from RNAcentral.
UACAGAGGGUGCAAGCGUUAAUCGGAAUUACUGGGCGUAAAGCGCACGCAGGCGGUUGGUUAAGUCAGAUGUGAAAGCCCCGGGCUCAACCUGGGAAUUGCAUUUGAAACUGGCCAACUAGAGUAUGUGAGAGGGGGGUAGAAUUCCAAGAGUAGCGGUGAAAUGCGUAGAGAUUUGGAGGAAUACCAGUGGCGAAGGCGGCCCCCUGGCACAAUACUGACGCUCAGGUGCGAAAGCGUGGGGAGCAAACAGG